CCUACGGGAGGCAGCAGUGGGGAAUAUUGGACAAUGGGCGAAAGCCUGAUCCAGCCAUGCCGCGUGUGUGAAGAAGGCCUUCGGGUUGUAAAGCACUUUCAGUGGGGAAGAAAGCCUUGGGGCUAAUACCCUCGAGGAAGGACAUCACCCACAGAAGAAGCACCGGCUAACUCCGUGCCAGCAGCCGCGGUAAUACGGAGGGUGCGAGCGUUAAUCGGAAUUACUGGGCGUAAAGCGCGCGUAGGCGGUCUGAUAAGCCGGUUGUGAAAGCCCCGGGCUCAACCUGGGAACGGCAUCCGGAACUGUCAGGCUAGAGUGCAGGAGAGGAAGGUAGAAUUCCCGGUGUAGCGGUGAAAUGCGUAGAGGUCGGGAGGAAUACCAGUGGCGAAGGCGGCCUUCUGGACUGACACUGACGCUGAGGUGCGAAAGCGUGGGUAGCAAACAGGAUUAGAUACCCUGGUAGUC
This 465-nucleotide ribosomal RNA is filed under the name Vreelandella stevensii. RNAcentral describes it as "partial 16S ribosomal RNA". It matches the Rfam family "Bacterial small subunit ribosomal RNA", at positions 338 to 795 of the family's 1533-position model. Lineage: Bacteria; Pseudomonadati; Pseudomonadota; Gammaproteobacteria; Oceanospirillales; Halomonadaceae. The record is from RNAcentral.